AUAUUAUUUUUCAAAUUUUCUUUUUCUGAAUAAAAGUAUAACAUCUAUAUUUUUAUUCAGAAAAAGAAAAUUUGAAAAAUAAUAU
This 85-nucleotide microRNA precursor is filed under the name Daucus carota subsp. sativus. RNAcentral's name for it is "sRNA DCAR_mi00079". The record is from RNAcentral. Lineage: Eukaryota; Viridiplantae; Streptophyta; Magnoliopsida; Apiales; Apiaceae.